CGGGGCGUGGCUCAGUUUGGCUAGAGCGCUUGGUUUGGGACCAAGAGGUCGGCGGUUCAAGUCCGCCCGCCCCGACCA
This 78-nucleotide transfer RNA is filed under the name Candidatus Omnitrophica bacterium 4484_70.2. RNAcentral describes it as "tRNA-Pro". It matches the Rfam family "tRNA". From Rfam's summary of the family: Transfer RNA (tRNA) molecules are approximately 80 nucleotides in length. Lineage: Bacteria; Pseudomonadati; Candidatus Omnitrophota. The record is from RNAcentral.